This 252-nucleotide ribosomal RNA is filed under the name uncultured bacterium. Its description in RNAcentral is "partial 16S ribosomal RNA". It matches the Rfam family "Bacterial small subunit ribosomal RNA", at positions 524 to 776 of the family's 1533-position model. The record is from RNAcentral.
UACGUAAGGACCGAGCGUUGUCCGGAAUCAUUGGGCGUAAAGGGUACGUAGGCGGUUAGAAAAGUUAGGAGUGAAAGGCUAUAGCUCAACUAUAGAAAGCUUUUAAAACUGUUUAACUUGAGAGAUGGAAGGGAAAGGGGAAUUCCUAGUGUAGCGGUGAAAUGCGUAGAUAUUAGGAGGAAUAACGGUGGCGAAGGCGACUUUCUGGCCAUAAACUGACGCUGAGGGACUAAAGCGUGGGUAGCAAAUAGG